Molecule: long non-coding RNA, 1130 nt
Filed under: Spirodela polyrhiza (greater duckweed)
Lineage: Eukaryota; Viridiplantae; Streptophyta; Magnoliopsida; Alismatales; Araceae
Description: long non-coding RNA (SPOL_LNC002326)
Source: RNAcentral
AAGUGUUCACGCUUGGGUUAAGGGCAUACUGCAAGGUUGCCUAAACGAUUUGCCAGCAUAUCAGUGGUUAACAGUUCUCUCAUUAAAUUUGUGCAUCUUCCAUAAUAAUGAGGACAUUGUUUGAGUUGCGAAGCUUACAAUUACUUCAUUAAUACAAGCAUAUCCACAGCAAGUUAUAUUGAUGAAGACUGUCAUUAAAAAUCCACGGGGGCAGCCAAGUGGGAUGCUGCUUCUGGGAUAAUCCAAGCUGCACAACGAGGUUUCCAGAGUGGUAAGGAUACUGGCAACUUUUUUGGUCAAUUUGGAAGACUAACCAAUCAAUGGAACAGACCUUGUUUCAUUCUUGGACAGCCAAAGGUCGGAACAGUUAGCACAUCAACCGGAUUGGGUUUCCUGAAGUGUAUGAUGUUUCUAGAAGUCAUCAUACCUUAACAAGCACUGACUGUCACCUUUCAAGUUUUGCAGGUCCUCCACAGUGCAACAUCUCCUCAGAUUUUGCAGAUCCUUAUCUAGUCACCUUUCCUAGCGCGAUAUCCCCCUCUCCAUUUCUAGUAAUUUUUCUCUUUCCAUUUUCUACCAUUCUGUAUUCCAGAUCCGAAGUCCUAUCAGAAUCAUGAAGAAAGAAUAACAGGCGGCAGGAAUCGGGUUCUCGCCGACAUUUGCUGAAACCAAAAUCAAAGAAAAUUACGAAACGAAAAGAUGGAGGCAGCCAACAAGACCAUUGAUCUGUACGUUCAAUGGCCUACAGACAUCAGAAAUCUACCUUAAGAACUCCCGGUCGCGCGCUGCGAUCAACAUAAGGUAUUUUAGUAUGACAGGAGGGAGACCGACCAUUACCUGGGACAGCCGGAGGACAGCUCCGCAGCAGGGGGAGGGGGAAGGAAUCAAUCAAUAAGCGGAAAUAGAGAGGCAGGGAACGCCGAUAGGGACUGCCAGAGGAAGCGGCGGCGGCCGGUGGCGGGGCGGAAGCGGGCCGGGCGUUCGAUCGCCGUCUGCCUGACGGUCGCUGGGUAUUUGGGCGGAAGGAAGAAAAUAUAACUGGGCCAAUAUCACUGGGCGGCCAGCUUGACCGCCACCACCUCUGUCUCUGUCUCUGUCUCUGUCUGUCUGUCCGUCCCUCUCUCUCUCUC